UGACUACUGCAUUUACUGUUCUGCCUCUGCCUAACAUCCCAUUCUUUUGGGUCUUGUUUCGCACUUAUUCGCAUUGGCGAGCUCUCCAGGGAAGUGAGAAGCUCCUUCAGCUAGUCUCAGAUCACUCCCACGCUCAAAACCCAAAAUUUUCAAAUGGGACAGGGAAUGAACCUGAGCAUAAAGAUCCGGAAUAUGGAACUAAGAAUUUACCAAGUUUCAAAUGGGUGUUGGAGCCAUCAAAGGAGUUGGAGGACCUUAUUAACCAGGGACAUGAUGAUGGUUAUCUUAGUGAACAAGCUAUCUCACAUAUAUGCAAUAGUUUUAGUUUGAACAAGAAUGAUGUUUUGAAGUGCAGAGAUUUGGUGUAAUGAACAUAUUUUUUCCUGUCAUCUAUUGGGGCUGUGACAACAAUAUGAUGAAGAUAUAAUGCACUUACCGUUGAACACAGGGAAAUAUGUUUUAGGGAAUGAAGAUAGGAAGGAUAAAUAAGGAUCUAGCAUGUUACUUUUGAAUACCGAGGAAGUGGAUUCAGAAAUAGUGUGCAUAAUUACGUAGUUU
Hibiscus syriacus is the source of this 558-nucleotide long non-coding RNA. RefSeq lists it as uncharacterized. NCBI's taxonomy places the organism in Eukaryota, Viridiplantae, Streptophyta, Magnoliopsida, Malvales, Malvaceae. The transcript has 4 exons. The record is from RefSeq and is a predicted model, not a curated record.